This 2425-nucleotide ribosomal RNA is filed under the name soil metagenome. RNAcentral describes it as "bacterial LSU rRNA". It matches the Rfam family "Bacterial large subunit ribosomal RNA", at positions 1563 to 2925 of the family's 2925-position model. The record is from RNAcentral.
GCGAUGCCAGCUGGCCGGAAGGCCGGCGAGUCCCUGACGCCAUGCCUCCGAGAAAAUCCUCUAGGCAGGAUGCGCGUGCCCGUACCAAAACCGACACAGGUGGACAAGUAGAGAAUACUAAGGUGAUCGAGAUAACCCUCGUUAAGGAACUCGGCAAAAUGGCCCCGUAACUUCGGGAGAAGGGGCGCCCCGGUAGGGUGAAGCGACGGUUCGCCGCUCGCGGAGCCCGAGGGGGCCGCAGUUAAUUGGCCCAACCGACUGUUUACCAAAAACACAGGUCUCUGCUAAGUCGUAAGACGACGUAUAGGGGCUGACGCCUGCCCGGUGCCGGAAGGUUACGUGGAGAGGUUAGCCGCUUCGGCGGCGAAGCCUUGAAACUAAGCCCCGGUAAACGGCGGCGGUAACUAUAACCGUCAACAGUUGGGCGGUUGCAAAAUCUGGCUAUAUGCUGGGACACCUGAGAAUCUGGCGGUACCCGCGUCGUGCGGGUGACAAUCCGACCAGUGCAGGCAAUCAGCAGGAAAGGCCGGUGGUCCGCGUGGCCAUCGGAAUCCUCAGAGGCCAUACGCCAGACGCCCCAGUCCGGGGCGAUGAGAUGGUCCGACCUCCACGGCGACGUGGAGAGCUGGGCGGAACCGAAACGACCCAGCCACUCAGCGCGAGCCAGAUGGCUCGUACUGAUGUGUAACAAAGUGCCUAAGGUAGCGAAAUUCCUUGUCGGGUAAGUAACAACUUGCCUCCUGCUCCGCGAGGAGCAGUGCAAACCGGCUCAUAUCGGGGAAGCCCUCCCCGCGGCGGCGCUCAGGCGCCGGUGCGGCGGGUAAUCCCGAGGGAAGUCGGGGAGCCCACGCGGCUCCCUUGACCCCGUAACGACUGAUCCGAAAGGAGAGGCGUGCCGUCCUGGCCCAGCGCCAGAAUCAGUUGCGGCAUGCAACACGCCGGCCCUCACUCAAGGAAUUGGGACGCCUAUGGAGACGCAGUCCGGUUGGACCCCUGGUUCGUGACCGGUCUGGCGGAGGGCGAAGGGUGCUUCUGCAUCUCGUUCGCCAUCCGCCCGAGACUGCGCGUCGGGCUCGAAGCCCGACCGUCGUUCUCGCUCUCGCUGAAUGAGAGGGAUCGCGAGCUGCUGGGGGACCUACAGGCCUUCUUCGAAUGCGGCUGGAUCCGCGAGUCGCGAAACGAUCGGACCUUCAAGUACGAAGCCCGGUCGGUAACGGACCUCGUGGACCGGAUCGUUCCGCACUUCGAGGCCUAUCCGCUGCACGGCGCGAAGCGUCGUAGUUUCAGCGGAUUCGCCACGGCCUGCCAGAUGAUCGGACAAGGAGAUCAUCUGCGAUCGGAGGGGAUGGCAGAGAUUGUCCGGAUCGCUUACGAGAUGAACCUCGGCAAGCGCCGGCAUCCUGCCUCCACGCUCCUAAGGGCGCUCAAGUGAGGUGAAGGGAUAGUCUGCGCCUCCGGAAACGGAGGAUUAACGCGAAGUUCCGACCUGCACGAAUGGCGUAACGAGUUGGGCGCUGUCUCAACGAGGGGCUCGGUGAAAUCGCAGUCUCGGUGAAGAUGCCGAGUACCCGCGGCCAGACGGAAAGACCCCGUGAACCUUUACUACAACCUGAUAUUGGAGUCUGAGGCACCUCGCUCAGGAUAGGUGGGAGGCUGUGAAGCAGGGACUGCGGUCCCUGUGGAGCCGCCCUUGAGAUACCACCCUUGGUGUCUUGGGCUUCUAACACCGCGCCGUGAAUCCGGGCGGUGAACAGUGUCAGGCGGGUAGUUUGACUGGGGCGGUCGCCUCCCAAAAUGUAACGGAGGCGCGCAAAGGUUCCCUCAGUACGGUUGGAAAUCGUACGUAGAGUGCAAAAGCAACAAGGGAGCUUGACUGCGAGACAGACAUGUCGAGCAGGUGCGAAAGCAGGCCUUAGUGAUCCGGCGGUAGCAAGUGGAAGCGCCGUCGCUCAACGGAUAAAAGGUACUCCGGGGAUAACAGGCUUAUCGGGCCCAAGAGUCCACAUCGACGGCCCGGUUUGGCACCUCGAUGUCGGCUCGUCGCAUCCUGGGGCUGAAGUCGGUCCCAAGGGUUGGGCUGUUCGCCCAUUAAAGCGGUACGCGAGCUGGGUUCAGAACGUCGUGAGACAGUUCGGUCCCUAUCUGCCGUGGGCGUUGGAGAGUUGAGAGGAGUCGUCCCUAGUACGAGAGGACCGGGACGAACGCACCUCUGGUGUACCAGUUGUCCUGCCAAGGGCACUGCUGGUUAGCUACGUGCGGAUCGGAUAACCGCUGAAGGCAUCUAAGCGGGAAGCCGACCUCGAGAUGAGCUCUCCCAUCCCCUUGAGGGAGUAAGACCCCUGGAAGACCACCAGGUGAUAGGCCGGAUGUGUAAGCACAGCGAUGUGCUCAGCAGACCGGUACUAAUGGUUCGAGGGCUUGACGG